Molecule: ribosomal RNA, 220 nt
Filed under: uncultured bacterium
Lineage: Bacteria
Description: partial 16S ribosomal RNA
Rfam family: Bacterial small subunit ribosomal RNA
Source: RNAcentral
UACGUAGGGUGCAGGCGUUAAUCGGAAUUACUGGGCGUAAAGCGUGCGCAGGCGGUCUGCUAAGAGAGAUGUGAAAUCCCCGGGCUUAACCCUGGGAACUGCGUUUCGUAACUGGCAGGCUUGAGUGUGGCAGAGGGGGGUAGGAAUUCCACGGUGUAGCAGUGAAAUGCGUAGAGAUGUGGAGGAACACCGAUGGCGAAGGCAGCCCCCUGGGCCAAGA